This 594-nucleotide small RNA is filed under the name Pongo abelii (Sumatran orangutan). RNAcentral's name for it is "retained intron". Lineage: Eukaryota; Metazoa; Chordata; Mammalia; Primates; Hominidae. The record is from RNAcentral.
AGUCCAGAAGAGGUCUCAGAGGACCCUGGCUAGAAUUUGGUCAACGAGACAAUCUUUUUCUCCCUCAUACCCCUGCCAGGAUUUGUGUGAGCUUCACCAUCUGGACAUCUCCUAUAAUCGCCUGCAUUUGGUGCCAAGAAUGGGACCCUCAGGGGCUGCUCUGGGGGUCCUGAUACUGCGAGGCAACGAGCUUCGGAGCCUGCAUGGCCUGGAGCAGCUGAGGAAUCUGCGGCACCUGGAUUUGGCAUACAACCUGCUGGAAGGACACCGGGAGCUGUCACCACUGUGGCUGCUGGCUGAGCUCCGCAAGCUCUACCUGGAGGGGAACCCUCUUUGGUUCCACCCUGAGCACCGAGCAGCCACUGCCCAGUACUUGUCACCCCGGGCCAGGGAUGCUGCUACUGUCUUCCUUCUCGAUGGCAAGGUCUUGUCGCUGACAGAUUUUCAGACUCACACAUCCUUGGGGCUCAGCCCCACGGGCCCACCUUUGCCCUGGCCAGUGGGGAGUACUCCUGAAACCUCAGGUGGCCCUGACCUGAGUGACAGCCUCUCCUCAGGGGGUGUUGUGGCCCAGCCCCUGCUUCAUAAGGUUAA